GCGGGGAGUGGAGCGGCGUCUGUUGUCACGACUUGCCAGCGGAUAGGAGAAUCGCGCGGUUCCAUCGCAGGAAGUGGAGCAGGAUCGUGGCCGUUAUUGUGGCCUGCCAGGGAGUAGUGGAACUGCGUGGAAUCCGCCGCAGGAAGUGGAGCAGGAUCGUGGCCGUUAUUGUGGUCUGCCAGGGAGUGCAGAUCCGUCGACUGAAGUUCGGCCAGCAGACGGAGCCUGGCUCCUGUAGGAGUCCGGGCGGAGUCUACUUGCGGUUGAAGUUGUUGGCGGAGUCCGGCUCCCGUAGGAGUCCGGACGAAGUCUGUCUGCAGC
RNAcentral lists this long non-coding RNA (321 nucleotides) under Elaeis guineensis (African oil palm). RNAcentral's name for it is "long non-coding RNA (EGUI_LNC073694)". The record is from RNAcentral. Lineage: Eukaryota; Viridiplantae; Streptophyta; Magnoliopsida; Arecales; Arecaceae.